RNAcentral lists this ribosomal RNA (497 nucleotides) under uncultured bacterium. RNAcentral describes it as "partial 16S ribosomal RNA". It matches the Rfam family "Bacterial small subunit ribosomal RNA", at positions 28 to 507 of the family's 1533-position model. The record is from RNAcentral.
GACGAACGCUGGCGGCGUGCCUAAUACAUGCAAGUUGAGCGCUGAAGGUUGGUACUUGUACCAACUGGAUGAGCAGCGAACGGGUGAGUAACGCGUGGGGAAUCUGCCUUUGAGCGGGGGACAACAUCUGGAAACGAAUGCUAAUACCGCAUAAUAACUUUAAACACAAGUUUUAAGUUUGAAAGAUGCAAUUGCAUCACUCAAAGAUGAUCCCGCGUUGUAUUAGCUAGUUGGUGAGGUAAAGGCUCACCAAGGCGAUGAUACAUAGCCGACCUGAGAGGGGUAUCGGCCACAUUGGGACUGGGAAACGGCCCAAACUCCUACGGGAGGGAGCAGUAGGGAAUCUUCGGCAAUGGACGGAAGUCUGACCGGACAACGCCGCGUGAGUGAAGAAGGGUUUCGGAUCGUAAAACUCUGUUGGUAGGGAAGAACGUUGGUGGGAGUGGAAAGCUCAUCAAGUGACGGUAACUACCCAGAAAGGGACGGCUAACUACGUG